CCUACGGGAGGCAGCAGUGAGGAAUAUUGGUCAAUGGACGAGAGUCUGAACCAGCCAAGUAGCGUGAAGGAUGACUGCCCUAUGGGUUGUAAACUUCUUUUAUAUGGGAAUAAAACGUUCCACGUGUGGGAUUUUGUAUGUACCAUAUGAAUAAGGAUCGGCUAACUCCGUGCCAGCAGCCGCGGUAAUACGGAGGAUCCGAGCGUUAUCCGGAUUUAUUGGGUUUAAAGGGAGCGUAGGUGGAUUGUUAAGUCAGUUGUGAAAGUUUGCGGCUCAACCGUAAAAUUGCAGUUGAAACUGGCAGUCUUGAGUAAAGUAGAGGUGGGCGGAAUUCGUGGUGUAGCGGUGAAAUGCUUAGAUAUCACGAAGAACUCCGAUUGCGAAGGCAGUUCACUGGACUGCAACUGACACUGAGGCUCGAAAGUGUGGGUAUCAAACAGGAUUAGAUACCCCUGUAGUC
This 460-nucleotide ribosomal RNA is filed under the name uncultured bacterium. RNAcentral's name for it is "partial 16S ribosomal RNA". It matches the Rfam family "Bacterial small subunit ribosomal RNA", at positions 338 to 795 of the family's 1533-position model. The record is from RNAcentral.